AAUAGAUACCCGGGUAGUCCACGCCGUAAACGAUGAGUGCUAAGUGUUAGAGGGUUUCCGCCCUUUAGUGCUGAAGUUAACGCAUUAAAGCACUCCGCCUGGGGAGUACGGCCGCAAGGCUGAAACUCAAAGGAAUUGACGGGGGCCCGCACAAGCGGUGGAGCAUGUGGUUUAAUUCGAAGCAACGCGAAGAACCUUACCAGGUCUUGACAUCCUCUGACAACCCUAGAGAUAGGGCUUCUCCUUCGGGAGCAGAGUGACAGGUGGUGCAUGGUUGUCGUCAGCUCGUGUCGUGAGAUGCUGGGUUAAGUCCCGCAACGAGCGCAACCCUUGAUCUUAGUUGCCAUCAUUAAGUUGGGCACUCUAAGGUGACUGCCGGUGACAAACCGGAGGAAGGUGGGGAUGACGUCAAAUCAUCAUGCCCCUUAUGACCUGGGCUACACACGUGCUACAAUGGACGGUACAAAGAGCUGCAAGACCGCGAGGUGGAGCUAAUCUCAUAAAAACCCGUUCUCAGUUCGGA
RNAcentral lists this ribosomal RNA (523 nucleotides) under uncultured bacterium. RNAcentral describes it as "bacterial SSU rRNA". It matches the Rfam family "Bacterial small subunit ribosomal RNA", at positions 777 to 1297 of the family's 1533-position model. The record is from RNAcentral.